RNAcentral lists this ribosomal RNA (1456 nucleotides) under Helicobacter typhlonius. Its description in RNAcentral is "16S ribosomal RNA". It matches the Rfam family "Bacterial small subunit ribosomal RNA". The record is from RNAcentral. Lineage: Bacteria; Pseudomonadati; Campylobacterota; Epsilonproteobacteria; Campylobacterales; Helicobacteraceae.
UCAGAGUGAACGCUGGCGGCGUGCCUAAUACAUGCAAGUCGAACGAUGAAGCUUUUAGCUUGCUAGAAGUGGAUUAGUGGCGCACGGGUGAGUAAUGCAUAGGUUAUGUGCCCUUUAGUCUGGGAUAGCCACUGGAAACGGUGAUUAAUACUGGAUACUCCCUACGGGGGAAAGGGUCUCCGCUAAAGGAUCAGCCUAUGUCCUAUCAGCUUGUUGGUGAGGUAAUGGCUCACCAAGGCUAUGACGGGUAUCCGGCCUGAGAGGGUGAUCGGACACACUGGAACUGAGACACGGUCCAGACUCCUACGGGAGGCAGCAGUAGGGAAUAUUGCUCAAUGGGGGAAACCCUGAAGCAGCAACGCCGCGUGGAGGAUGAAGGUUUUAGGAUUGUAAACUCCUUUUGUGAGAGAAGAUUAUGACGGUAUCUCACGAAUAAGCACCGGCUAACUCCGUGCCAGCAGCCGCGGUAAUACGGAGGGUGCAAGCGUUACUCGGAAUCACUGGGCGUAAAGAGUGCGCAGGCGGGGUGGUAAGUCAGAUGUGAAAUCCUGUAGCUUAACUACAGAACUGCAUUUGAAACUAUCACUCUAGAGUAUGGGAGAGGUAGGUGGAAUUCUUGGUGUAGGGGUAAAAUCCGUAGAGAUCAAGAGGAAUACUCAUUGCGAAGGCGACCUACUGGAACAUUACUGACGCUCAUGCACGAAAGCGUGGGGAGCAAACAGGAUUAGAUACCCUGGUAGUCCACGCCCUAAACGAUGAAUGCUAGUUGUUGCCCUGCUUGUCAGGGCAGUAAUGCAGCUAACGCAUUAAGCAUUCCGCCUGGGGAGUACGGUCGCAAGAUUAAAACUCAAAGGAAUAGACGGGGACCCGCACAAGCGGUGGAGCAUGUGGUUUAAUUCGAAGAUACGCGAAGAACCUUACCUAGGCUUGACAUUGAUAGAAUCCUAUAGAGAUAUGGGAGUGCCCUUCGGGGAGCUUGAAAACAGGUGCUGCACGGCUGUCGUCAGCUCGUGUCGUGAGAUGUUGGGUUAAGUCCCGCAACGAGCGCAACCCUCGUCCUUAGUUGCUAGCAGCUCGGCUGAGCACUCUAAGGAGACUGCCUUCGUAAGGAGGAGGAAGGUGAGGACGACGUCAAGUCAUCAUGGCCCUUACGCCUAGGGCUACACACGUGCUACAAUGGGGCAUACAAUGAGGAGCAAUACCGCGAGGUGGAGCAAAUCUCUAAAAUGUCUCUCAGUUCGGAUUGUAGUCUGCAACUCGACUACAUGAAGCUGGAAUCGCUAGUAAUCGCAAAUCAGCAAUGUUGCGGUGAAUACGUUCCCGGGUCUUGUACUCACCGCCCGUCACACCAUGGGAGUUGUAUUCGCCUUAAGUCGGGAUACUAAAUUGGUUACCGCCCACGGCGGAUGCAGCGACUGGGGUGAAGUCGUAACAAGGUAACCGUAGGUGAACCUGC